RNAcentral lists this ribosomal RNA (253 nucleotides) under uncultured bacterium. RNAcentral describes it as "partial 16S ribosomal RNA". It matches the Rfam family "Bacterial small subunit ribosomal RNA", at positions 524 to 776 of the family's 1533-position model. The record is from RNAcentral.
UACAGAGGUGGCAAGCGUUGUUCGGAAUUACUGGGCGUAAAGCGCUCGCAGGUGGUUCGAUGCGUCGUGCGUGAAAGCCCCCGGCUCAACUGGGGAGUGUCGUGCGAUACGGUCGAACUGGAGGCCAGUAGGGGGAUGCGGAAUUCCGGGUGUAGUGGUGGAAUGCGUAGAGAUCCGGAGGAACACCAGCGGCGAAGGCGGCAUCCUGGACUGGUCCUGACACUCAUGAGCGAAAGCGUGGGGAGCGAUCCGG